This is a long non-coding RNA of Artibeus jamaicensis (Jamaican fruit-eating bat), 518 nucleotides long. RefSeq lists it as uncharacterized. NCBI's taxonomy places the organism in Eukaryota, Metazoa, Chordata, Mammalia, Chiroptera, Phyllostomidae. The transcript is spliced from 3 exons. The record is from RefSeq and is a predicted model, not a curated record.
GGGCAGGGAGGGAAGAAGAGAGAGAGAGAAACGUCAAUAUGAGAGAGAAGCAUCGAUCAGUUGCUUCUCCUGUGCUCCCGCAUCAGGGACGGAACCUGUAAGUCAGGAAUUGAACCAGCAACCUUCCGCUCUGCAGUGACACCCGACCGGCUGAGCCACUUGAGCAGAGAGGAUGAAGAAGUUGAAUGAUCAAAGGGUUUGCUGUGUUCGCCUGAGAUUCUGGCACGUGGACACCUCAGACACAGAGUCCGAGGCGGACUCUGUACGUGGUCCUCUGGGGCAAAGGAACGUGCCCCUGGUAAUAGGCCGGAAACCAGUGAAGGAGUGAAGGAGCGGGGCAUGAAAAAAAUCAUCACUCUUUUUCAAGGUUGUGUGAAUAUCAAAAUAGCAAACUGGCCUUGGAUGGUGUGGCUCAAUGGAUCGAGCACCAACCUGUGAACAAGGGAGUCACCAGUUCAAUUCCUGGUCAAGGCACAUGCCUGGGUUGCAGACCAGGUCCCCGAUGUGGGGGUGUGUGA